CUUAGGGAGUAGGGGUGUGCAGCCGACUCGUCCCGCCCCUGCCUCUGAGUGACAGGACCGUGGACAGCAACAUUUCCAGCGGGACACGAAGUUUGUCGGCCCUUGCCUUGGCUGAGCUAAGUAAGAAAAAACAACCAAGAGCAUUAUUAUUGGUAUCUGGAAUUGAAUUUUCCAGGAAUGCAAGCACGGCUUCUUCAGUAAAGAUCUUGCCUUUGGAAACAUCUUCCCCUUGGCAGCUCUCCAGAGUUCAGACUUGGCAGCAUCAAGGACACAACACAAGACUACAUGUCCAAAACGUGUUGGUAGGAAAGCUCAUGUACUUCCAUGACCCAGAUGCAGCAAUGGGAAGAGAGUGGCUAAUUACGCACUGAUACAUUGGUCAAAACAAAUUUCAAAAGGGGGACUAUGAAGUGCAAUAUUGUCUCUACUCAGAGGGAAAAGAGAAUUGGA
This is a long non-coding RNA of Hyaena hyaena (striped hyena), 450 nucleotides long. RefSeq lists it as uncharacterized. NCBI's taxonomy places the organism in Eukaryota, Metazoa, Chordata, Mammalia, Carnivora, Hyaenidae. The transcript is spliced from 3 exons. The record is from RefSeq and is a predicted model, not a curated record.